UGUCUCUUACGGACUAGCCAAUGAAAUUGAUCCUUCAGUACAAAAGCUGGAAUUAACCCAUAAGACGAGAAGACCCUGUGGAGCUUCAAAACCAAAAUCACUAAACAUGCCUCCUGGUUUUUUAGUUGGGGCGACUUUGGAGCAAAAAAAAUCCUCCAAAACAUAAAGUCAUUUAUUAAGAAAAACACACCAAAAAUAAUAUUAUAGACCCAGCAGUACUAGUUUACUGUCUGAUCAAUGAACCAAGUUACCCCAGGGAUAACAGCGCCAUCCUCUUCUAGAGUCCUUAUCGACAAGAGGGUUUACGACCUCGAUGUUGGAUCAGGACACC
This 331-nucleotide ribosomal RNA is filed under the name Podarcis cretensis. RNAcentral's name for it is "partial large subunit ribosomal RNA". It matches the Rfam family "Bacterial large subunit ribosomal RNA", at positions 2017 to 2546 of the family's 2925-position model. The record is from RNAcentral. Lineage: Eukaryota; Metazoa; Chordata; Lepidosauria; Squamata; Lacertidae.